AGCUUUCUGAGAAAGUGGCAGUAUCGUAGCCAAUGAGGUUAAUCCGAGGCGCGAUUAUUGCUAGUUGUAAACUCUGAGUCUCUGCUCUUCAGGGAAGCUCUUUUCUUUGUGUCAGUGACAAAUGCCUCUCUUAUUUAUGUAUUUCUAUUUUAGA
RNAcentral lists this small nuclear RNA (154 nucleotides) under Gopherus agassizii (Agassiz's desert tortoise). RNAcentral describes it as "U4 spliceosomal RNA (ENSGAGG00000000446.1)". It matches the Rfam family "U4 spliceosomal RNA". Rfam says of the family: U4 small nuclear RNA (U4 snRNA) is a component of the major U2-dependent spliceosome. The structure of U4 snRNA from yeast and human has been reported. U4 snRNA presents a k-turn RNA motif in the 5p-SL related to recognition of Snu13 protein. Lineage: Eukaryota; Metazoa; Chordata; Testudines; Testudinidae. The record is from Rfam by way of RNAcentral.